Long non-coding RNA from Oreochromis aureus, 1843 nucleotides. The record is from Ensembl. Lineage: Eukaryota; Metazoa; Chordata; Actinopteri; Cichliformes; Cichlidae.
GUUUUCUAUUGUAGUCUGGGUGACCCGCAUCUGUUUCCUGCUUAAACUAUAUGUAUUGCAGAGUUCACUGUCGGGUUGCAUGACAAUGGAGCAAUACAUCGAAUCUUGUGACAUGGGAAAGUACAGCAAAUUCUGUGAAAUAUAUAAACACUUUACAAUAUGCUUGAAUAUUAAAAGAUAAUAAAACAAAGAAUAAAACACAUAAAAACAUAGAAUCUCAUAACAUUCCCUCCUGUUGUUAAUAUAUUUCACUCAUACUUCAUAGGCUUCAGUAGACAAUCACUUGUUUGCACAUUUUCAAUUGCUACGUCAUGUUAAGUGCAAGAAAUUCUUAAACACAGUCUUCUUCUUCUUCAGUUGCUAUCGGGCUAUAAGCUUGUGCCAGGAAGAUUCGGUUGCAGUGUCUUAUUUGGAUAAACAAAAGAUACACCCUGCUUUUCUGGGACUCUAAGUCUCCAUAGGCAGACCAUGGUCAUGUUAUGGGCUAGUUCGGGCGGUGUGACCGGAAGUGUUGUUAAGUUCUUUAUUGGUUCUUUUGGAGCACAUGCACGCAGACUUGUAUUCAUUACUGUUUCUAGAGUUUGUAGUAGGUUUACAAAGAAUGCCAUUUCAGUUUUGUUAUGGGGUACAUAAUUAUGCAUUAGUUGGCAUUCCUCUGACCAGCAUCGUCGUCGAGUCCUGUUGGGGACUGGGUCCUCUCCAUCUGAAAUGUCUGAAUGUUCAUUUUGCACAUCUGUGUCGGGCAUUGUUUAUAAGUGUCUGAGUAGUUACUUGAGUGAUGGGUUGCUCUUCUGGUUUUGCAGGUCGGACUGAUCUCCUGUUACUCUACCGGGCAGGUGGGGCAAGAUCACUAGAUGACAGGUGAACUGGCGUCUGGGCUUGUGUCCCCUUGUACUUUUUUGGUGUGGCUCUGGUGGAUCCACGAAGGUCUUUCAGCGGUCUUGCACGCUGUUGGCGUCGUUAGCAGGACCUGAAAAGGGCCCUCCCACCUCGGAGAGCUCCAGUUUUUCCUCUGGAGUACCUUGAUCAGGAUCCAGUCGCCUGGUUUCAACCUGGAAGAGACUGGAGAAGAAUCAUUCGGCAGUUGGUUGCUCAGAACUAUUUCUUUGUUCUCUAGCAGUUUUGUCAUCCAUUCUGCUAGGGUUGUUUCUCUGACUGACUUGUCUAUUGGUUCACUGGUGAUGAGCAGAGGAAAAGGUCUACCAUGUACAAUUUCAAAUGGUGUCAGUUUCUGCGAGCAUUGGGUUAAUCUCAUCCACAUUUUUACUAGGCCUAUACACUCUGGCCACGGUCUUCCUGUUUCUUCCAUGCAUUUUCUAAGUCUCUGUGCCGUUAGUUCUUUCCGCUAGGCCGGCACUUUGAGGAUGGUAAGCACAGUGAUAUUUGAUGUUGAACCCUAGUGCUUCAGAGACUUUGCUGAUUACCUCAUUGACAAAGUGUGUCCCAUUAUCUGAUCUUAUCAGAGUGGGGAUGCUAUAUGUUGGAAUAAAAUGGUUACAUAAGCAUUUUGCUGAAGUUUCGAAAUUUAGAGUGUGUUUUGGAGAUUAUAUCUCUUAUCCCUCCUGUUGACGCAUGGAGGGUAACUCCAUGUGUCACUAAGGCUGCUGUUUUGUGUAGAGAUUUUGGAAGUAUUGGUUUUCCUUCACAAAUCAUCAAGUCGUCUUUUAGUUGCGCUCCGCAUUUCAGCCAUUUCUUUUGCUCAGCUGUGGGAGCUGCUUUUUGUUCAUCCUUUGUCAGUAAAAUUGUUUCCCUUUGUAAUUUCAUAGUCAUUCUUCUGAUGUGCUGCACACUUGCAAAUUGCUAAAUGUCGCAUCACAUGAGGAGUUUCCUCCGAUGUAAACAG